RNAcentral lists this long non-coding RNA (996 nucleotides) under Marmota monax (woodchuck). Lineage: Eukaryota; Metazoa; Chordata; Mammalia; Rodentia; Sciuridae. The record is from RNAcentral.
AUGCCACCAAAGAACCAAGAAAUGGGACCUCAGCAGACUCAGUGACUCUGCCAGUGCCUUGGACUUGACUGCCGGCUUCCAGAACAGUGAGAAGUAAACUUCUAUUGUUUACAAUCCACCUGGUCUAUUGCCCUUUGUUAUAGUACCACCAACAGACUAAGACACACUCUCCUGCUUUACCCAAUCUGCCUACUGGGGCUGCCUGUGUUGAAUGCCUCUUAGGAUGCAUCCUUUUAUUUUCAUGGAGAUGGGGCUCUGAAACAUUUCUAGAGGCUCUGACUAAGGCAGAAGCAAGGGGAUACAAAGGGAUAAGCAAUUGCCUACUCUCUUUGAGGAAAUUAAUGACCCAGGCUGAGCUGCCUUUGUCCUUGGAUGACAAGGAUGUUAAAAACUGCAUGAAUCCCUCCCAUCUCUGCCACAGUCUGAGAAGAUCAUACAGACUUUAUACAGACUGUGGACAUGCAGGUCAAAGUCAUCAGGCCUGGAAUCCUGAGCCUGAUGAAAAUAGAAAACAGCUUCAUGUUUGAGUAAAAGCAGAAAAGUUGGCAUAGGUCCAUCUAGAUGACCAAGUUCUCCAUACUGAAAAUCAACCUAUCACUGAAAAUAUGUUCCUGAUCCAAACAGAACUAGCGUUUGACCACUUGCAGCAGGGGUUGAAGAGUCUGCUGAAACCCGAGCUCCUGGGAAUCAGGACCCACCUGCCAUGGCCCCUCUGGAUCCCCCAUCUCAGUCCAUUUGUGCUGCUAGAACAGAACCCCACAGCCUGGGUAAUUCACAGAGCAGACAUUUGUUUGGCGUGGUUCUGGAGGCUGGGAGAUUCAAGGUCAAGGUGCCAGCUGGUUCGGUGUGGGAGGAGGGCUGCCUCCUCAGGUGGGGAGGAGCACUGUGCCUUCGCGUAGCAGAGGGUGGAAGGACCUGCUGACCAACCGCUAGAGGCAGCCUCUUUCCCAAGGGCCUCGGCCCUCUGGGAGGAGCAGCCCUCAGGCCUGAUCACCC